This 130-nucleotide small nucleolar RNA is filed under the name Dasypus novemcinctus (nine-banded armadillo). Its description in RNAcentral is "Small nucleolar RNA SNORA31 (ENSDNOG00000044716.1)". It matches the Rfam family "Small nucleolar RNA SNORA31". From Rfam's summary of the family: ACA31 (SNORA31) belongs to the H/ACA class of snoRNAs which are thought to guide the sites of modification of uridines to pseudouridines. ACA31 is predicted to guide the pseudouridylation of U3713 in 28S rRNA and U218 in 18S rRNA. Lineage: Eukaryota; Metazoa; Chordata; Mammalia; Cingulata; Dasypodidae. The record is from RNAcentral.
CUGCAUCUCUGACAGACCUAGAGCAGUUAAUGUCUGCUGCUAAUGUUUACACUACAGAUGCAAGAAAAAGUUCCUCACACUAUCUGUCUGUCUGGUUGUGACAGCCAAGAUUGAAUGGGUGAAUACAGGA